AGCCACACCCGCAGCAUAUGGAGGUUCCUAGGCUAGGAGUCUAAUCGGAGCUGUUGCCGCUGGCCUACACCACAGCCACAGUGACGCGGGAUCUGAGCUGCGUCUACGACCUACACCACAGCUCAUGGCAAUGCCAGCUCCUUAACCCACCGAGUGAGGCCAGGGAUCGAACCCAAAACCUCAUGGUUCCUAGUCGGAUUCAUUUCCGCUGCGCCAUGACAGGAACUCCCUGAAUCAUUUUUAAGUGGACUGUGGCAUCAAGUAUGUUCACACUGUUGUACAACCAUCACCACCAUCCAGCUCCUCAAUGCUUCCAUCAUCCCACACUGAAACUCUGUACCCAUUAAAUACUAUUUCCCCAUUUCUCCCGCCCCUUAGUUCCUGAUAACCACCAUUCUACUUUCUGUCUCUAUGAAUCUGACGAUGCUAGAUGCUUCAGUGGAAUCAUACAAUAUUUGCCUACAUUUGCAUUUUUAUAACUCAUUAGGGUAAAUUUUUUUUUUCCUAAGCUUCUCAGCCAUUGCACUUAUUCUUUGGGUAUUAUCUAUUCUUAAUCUUUAUCUAUUUUUCUUUCUUUCUUUUUUGGCUGUGGCCAUGGCAUGUGGAAAUUCCCAGGCCAGGGAUUGAACCCACACCACAGCAGCAACCCAAGUCACAGCAGUGACAACACUGGUUCCUUAACCUGGUGAGACACCACGGAACCCGAUCCAUCACCUGAUUUUAGUAGCUUUAGCUUAAAAGCUUAUUAGCUUUUAGCACUGACCCUAGUUAUUGAGGAUGAAGAAAUCAGUAUACAUUUAUCCUUCUCCCCCCUUUGCUUCCCACUUUUUGUUGGUGAUAUAACUUCUACAUUAUCAGGGCUAAAAACGCUUACAUUCUGUUCUGUCACCAUAAUCGCCACAUUUCUCUCAGUCUUACAUUUCAUGUCAAUAGUCGUUGCCAAUCCCUUUGCAGUUGUUCUCGUCUCUUGGUUGGCUGAAUCUUCUAACAGAUUUCUCAAACAGGGUGGAGAAAAUAAUAUCCCCUGUGUUCUUUCAUGUUUCCACUGUUUGCCUCUAUACCUCAAAGAGAGUUUGGCUCCUGCUUUCUUUCCUCUGGGAUCUUGUAGGCAUUGCUCCAAAAUCUUUGGGGAGUGAAGCUGGCUAUGGGAGAAGACUGAGGCCAAUCUUUGGAUUCCCUCCUCUACAUCAUGCCAAGAAAGCUCUAGCAUCUCAGCCUCAUUAACUGCAGACCACCAAUGACUCCAAAUUUAGUCACCCAACCAAGUAAGCUGUUACAGCCAACUCCAACUGCAUGAUCUAACCCUCUGAAUCCAUAAUAUCCAAUAAAGUGUACCCACAUCAAUGAAUUCAGCAGGAUUUAAUAUUAUACUCUUCUCUCCUUGCUCUAAUACCCACACACUCAUCAGGUUUCUGUUAAUAUAUAUUAAUGAAGUACAGCAAUCUUUUGGUGUAAAAGCUAUUUCCUCCUGCAUCAGAGUAUGUACCUGUCCCUCUGAAUCAUGUUGAGAUUUGAACCUUGUUAUGGCGCAGCCAAGGAUGGCUGUCAUGAGCUUGGAGGAGGAUGGCAUUUCUUUCAAGGAAUCUGUCCCAGGUGACAUUAUCACAGUAUGUAAACAAAGACUAGUUUCUUCAGAUACUAGACAGCAAGCAACUUUCAUGGUAAGGGAGGCUCUGCCACCUGACAAUGACCAUGCUUUAUCAUUGUAUGCCUAUACAUUCUUAAAAGCUUUGGGGCUUCAGAACAAAGGCAGUACCUCUGAAUUUCUUACCACAUUUGAACUUUUAUUAUGAAGCAUCUUGGAAAAGAAUACCUUUAUCUAGAAUCCUUACAGCACACAAGUGAAGUGUCAGUCUCUUCUGCUGCCCUAGGCCAUUAGAGAGAGUACUACUUGCCAAAAUUUGAGGGAGACAUUUUACAUGAGUAGUUUUCAAUCAAAGUCUUAUUGUACACAGGUGGCACUUUGGAAACCUGUGAAAGUGUCACAGUAACCAGGAGUUGCCACUAGCAUUUAAUGGGCAAGGCUCAGAGAUGCUAGACAUUCUACAAGGUGUGGUUUGGUCCCACACACUGUCUGACUUUAGAAUGUCCUGCUAAAUAUUCAUUAAGUAAAAAAGAUUUUUUUUGGGGGGGGGCUGCACCUGCAGCAUAUGGAGGUUUCCAGGCUAAGGGUUGAAUCAAAGCUACAGCUGCCAGCCUACAGCACAGCCACAGCAACACAGGAUGAGCCCCACAGCUCAUGGCAAGGCCAGAUCCUUAACCCACUGAGUGAGGCCAGGGAUCAAACCCGAAAUCUCAUGGUGCCUAGUAGGAUUCAUUUCCGCUGUGCCUCAACAGGAACGCCAAUACAUACAUUUUUUUUCCCCCUAAUGAACAUCAUAUUUUCCAAGAGCAUAAAUUAUCAUGUGGCUCAAGGGAAGACUGAAUUUUGUUUUAGUUAGAACUGUACCAAGAGUGGGUCUCAAUUUUGGAAAAUCAUCAAAGGCAAUGCCGCUCAUGGUGUCUGAGUGAGUAGUCACAGUCUGUAUUUGUAGUGUGGCAUUCCCAGUGAUUUGAUCUAUAUAAAUAGACUAUUUAGUCCCUAUUUCAUUAAUUAUAAAAAAAAGUAUAAAUUUGCAGUUGAAUACUUGAAGUUGGCUUUUAUAUCUUUGCCCACAACUGAACAGUUACCAUAUGCCCAUUUUGUUAACAUGUUUUUCUCUAAGGAAGCAAUGAAACCACCAAGAUUAAGCAACCACUUUACAAGAAACAUGGUGAAAAGUUGGGAAAGAUAAUAGCAUUCUUAUGAAGAGUUUGAAAACUGUCUUACUAUUUACUGGAAUCACAAAUGAUUGCAAAAUGUGGUAAGCUUCAUGACACUGGUCUUGACAAUUACCUCAUGGAUAUGACACCAAAAGUGCAGGCAACAAGAACAAAAAUAAUGAGUGGAACUACAUCAAACUAAAAAGCUUUUGCACAUCAAAGGAAACAACAGAGUGAAAAGGUAUUUUUGGAAUGGGAGAAAAUAUUUGCAAACCAUAAAGAGUUAAUCCCCUAAAUAUAUAAGGAACUCCUCCAACUCAAUAGUGGAAAAAAAUGAAUAGCACGCUUUAAAAAUGGUCUAAGGAAGGGGAGGGGGCAUAAACUGGGAGGCUGGGAUUAACAGAUACAUACCACCAUACACUGAAUAAACAACAGGAUUUACUGUAUAGCACAGGGAACUAUAUUCAAUAUCUUGUAAUAAAUUAUAAUGGGAAUUUUUUUUUUUUUUUUUGCUUUUUAGGGCUGCACCUGCAGCAUAUGGAGGUUCCCAGACUAGGGGUCUAAUCGGAGCUACAGCUUCCAGCCUACACCACAUCCACAGCAAUGCCAGAUCCGAGCAGCGUCUGCAACCUAUACCAUAGAUUGAGACAAUGCCAGAUCCUUAACCCACUGAGCAAGGUCAGGGAUCGAACCUGCGACCUCACGGUUCCUAGUCAGAUUCAUUUCUGCUGCACCACAACGGACUCCAAAAUGGAAAAAAAUUUAAAUGUUCAAAGAUCUUGAAUAAACAUUUCCCCAAAGAAGACUUACAAAUGGCCAACAUGUAUAUGAAAAAAAUGUUCACCUCAUUAGUCAUUAGGGAAAUGCAAAUCAAAACCACAAUA
Molecule: long non-coding RNA, 3626 nt
Filed under: Sus scrofa (pig)
Lineage: Eukaryota; Metazoa; Chordata; Mammalia; Artiodactyla; Suidae
Description: lncRNA (ENSSSCG00000063343.1)
Source: RNAcentral